Molecule: ribosomal RNA, 532 nt
Filed under: uncultured bacterium
Lineage: Bacteria
Description: bacterial SSU rRNA
Rfam family: Bacterial small subunit ribosomal RNA
Source: RNAcentral
CACCUACGGGUGGCAGCAGUGGGGAAUUUUGGACAAUGGGGGCAACCCUGAUCCAGCCAUGCCGCGUGAGUGAAGAAGGCCUUCGGGUUGUAAAGCUCUUUCGGCCGGGAAGAAAUCGCAUAGGUUAAUACCCUGUGUGGAUGACGGUACCGGAAUAAGAAGCACCGGCUAACUACGUGCCAGCAGCCGCGGUAAUACGUAGGGUGCGAGCGUUAAUCGGAAUUACUGGGCGUAAAGCGUGCGCAGGCGGUUUAGUAAGACAGGCGUGAAAUCCCCGGGCUCAACCUGGGAACUGCGCUUGUGACUGCUAAGCUAGAGUACGGCAGAGGGGGGUGGAAUUCCACGUGUAGCAGUGAAAUGCGUAGAGAUGUGGAGGAACACCAAUGGCGAAGGCAGCCCCCUGGGCCGAUACUGACGCUCAUGCACGAAAGCGUGGGUAGCAAACAGGAUUAGAUACCCUGGUAGUCCACGCCCUAAACGAUGUCAACUAGGUGUUGGGUGGGUAAAACCAUUUAGUACCGUAGCUAACGCG